AGUGAACGCUGGCGGUAGGCCUAACACAUGCAAGUCGAACGGCAGCACAGUAAGAGCUUGCUCUUACGGGUGGCGAGUGGCGGACGGGUGAGGAAUACAUCGGAAUCUACUUUUUCGUGGGGGAUAACGUAGGGAAACUUACGCUAAUACCGCAUACGACCUACGGGUGAAAGCAGGGGAUCUUCGGACCUUGCGCGAUUGAAUGAGCCGAUGUCGGAUUAGCUAGUUGGCGGGGUAAAGGCCCACCAAGGCGACGAUCCGUAGCUGGUCUGAGAGGAUGAUCAGCCACACUGGAACUGAGACACGGUCCAGACUCCUACGGGAGGCAGCAGUGGGGAAUAUUGGACAAUGGGCGCAAGCCUGAUCCAGCCAUACCGCGUGGGUGAAGAAGGCCUUCGGGUUGUAAAGCCCUUUUGUUGGGAAGGAAAAGCAGCAGGUUAAUACCCCGCUGUUCUGACGGUACCCAAAGAAUAAGCGCCGGCUAACUUCGUG
Molecule: ribosomal RNA, 492 nt
Filed under: uncultured bacterium
Lineage: Bacteria
Description: partial 16S ribosomal RNA
Rfam family: Bacterial small subunit ribosomal RNA
Source: RNAcentral